UUUGUUUCGACGCCGGACCGCGUAAGAGACGAUGAUGUUGGGCACGGAAGGUGGAGAGGGAUUCGUGGUGAAGGUCCGGGGCUUGCCCUGGUCUUGCUCGGCCGAUGAAGUGCAGAGGUUUUUUUCUGACUGCAAAAUUCAAAAUGGGGCUCAAGGUAUUCGUUUCAUCUACACCAGAGAAGGCAGACCAAGUGGCGAGGCUUUUGUUGAACUUGAAUCAGAAGAUGAAGUCAAAUUGGCCCUGAAAAAAGACAGAGAAACUAUGGGACACAGAUAUGUUGAAGUAUUCAAGUCAAACAACGUUGAAAUGGAUUGGGUGUUGAAGCAUACUGGUCCAAAUAGUCCUGACACGGCCAAUGAUGGCUUUGUACGGCUUAGAGGACUUCCCUUUGGAUGUAGCAAGGAAGAAAUUGUUCAGUUCUUCUCAGGAAAGUGCUUUAAGUCCUUUUUGUAAGCUUGGGAAUGUAUCCACGGAAAGGAUUUUUCAUAGACGGAAUUUCCAGAAGUGAAUCAUAACUACUGUUAGAGCAUAAGCAUGCAUGAUUGUGCUGUGUAGAUCAGUUUUGUUGAAAGUUUAGAUUGUUGUGUUUGUCAAUUAUAAUUUAAUGUUUCAGUUUUUAUAUGAAAUGUUGUAAAUGUAUACCUUUUUAAAAACUUGAAGUUCCAAUAACUUAAAGCAUUGAAAUAUAAAAUGAGGUAAAAGGUGUUUUGAAUUUAGUAAAACUGUUAUUUAAUGCUUAAAACUUAAUUGAAUUGUAUAAUUCUCAACAUUAAGUUGCAUAGAUAUGUGUUCUUAAGUUGUUGAAUUCUUAAUGCAUCCUGUGUUCAGCAAGUUUUUUUUAAUAUAUACUGUACCAUGGGUGUGUUAAGAAUAGUUAUACUUUAUAAUAAUGGAACUUCAUAUUAUUGCAAUGCAUAUUUAAAGAGUACUUGUUGAAAGCAUACCAUUCACCUAAAGUUAAAAAUUCUGGUUUAUUUAAAGCUAUAAGAAGAAUCA
Molecule: small RNA, 997 nt
Filed under: Pan troglodytes (chimpanzee)
Lineage: Eukaryota; Metazoa; Chordata; Mammalia; Primates; Hominidae
Description: processed transcript
Source: RNAcentral